Pelobates cultripes (western spadefoot toad) is the source of this 339-nucleotide non-coding RNA. NCBI's taxonomy places the organism in Eukaryota, Metazoa, Chordata, Amphibia, Anura, Pelobatidae. The record is from the annotation of a GenBank genome assembly.
CGCAAAGUAGUCCAGGCACUCAAGGUCUUCAUACAUCAGAUUUAUUUGAAAAACAGGACAGAUACAGCAACGUUUCGAUCCCUUCGGGGAUCUUUAUCAAGCUUGAGCUUGACCUUGAGUGCCUGGACUACUUUGCUGUUACUAUAUGGAUUAGGGGUUUGCUAGCCUUAGGUACAGUGCACCGCGGUCUACAGGUGAUGAGAGUGCAUGUCCCUUCUUUUUUUUUGCCAUAAGUUAAAUAACCGGAGUGAUUAAUGUUAAAAGUGAAAUGUAAGCAACAAAAUGUCACAACCUUGUUUUUAUCUUCUUGGGAUUUCCUAUUUAUUUUGUCAUCUUUAG